GAAUGCUGACAUAAGUAACGAUAAAGCGGGUGAAAAGCCCGCUCGCCGGAAGACCAAGGGUUCCUGUCCAACGUUAAUCGGGGCAGGGUGAGUCGACCCCUAAGGCGAGGCCGAAAGGCGUAGUCGAUGGGAAACGGGUUAAUAUUCCCGUACUUGGUGUUACUGCGAAGGGGGGACGGAGAAGGCUAUGUUGGCCGGGCGACGGUUGUCCCGGUUUAAGCGUGUAGGUGUGUGUUCCAGGUAAAUCCGGUUCACUUUAACACUGAGGCGUGACGACGAGGCACUACGGUGCUGAAGCAACAAAU
This 305-nucleotide ribosomal RNA is filed under the name Salmonella enterica. RNAcentral's name for it is "partial 23S ribosomal RNA". It matches the Rfam family "Bacterial large subunit ribosomal RNA", at positions 1292 to 1598 of the family's 2925-position model. RNAcentral also lists the same sequence under 2 other names. Lineage: Bacteria; Pseudomonadati; Pseudomonadota; Gammaproteobacteria; Enterobacterales; Enterobacteriaceae. The record is from RNAcentral.